Molecule: ribosomal RNA, 182 nt
Filed under: uncultured bacterium
Lineage: Bacteria
Description: partial 16S ribosomal RNA
Rfam family: Bacterial small subunit ribosomal RNA
Source: RNAcentral
CUGCAUGAAGUUGGAAUCGCUAGUAAUCGCGGAUCAGCAUGCCGCGGUGAAUACGUUCCCGGGCCUUGUACACACCGCCCGUCACACCAUGAGAGUCGGGAACACCCGAAGUCCGUAGCCUGACCGCAAGGGGGCGCGGCCGAAGGUGGUUCGAUAAUUGGGUGAAGUCGUAACAAGGUAAC